GCAUCAAUGGGGUAGUGGUAACCUGGGUCGUUGCCAUGGUGUAAUCCUUACCACAUUCAUCGACCCGCCGGGGGUUCAAUUCCCCCUUGAUGCA
Non-coding RNA from Armillaria borealis, 94 nucleotides. The record is from the annotation of a GenBank genome assembly. Lineage: Eukaryota; Fungi; Basidiomycota; Agaricomycetes; Agaricales; Physalacriaceae.